AAUCAUUACACAAAUAUGAAGGCGGGCUGGAACCUCUCGGGGUUACAGCCUUGCUGAAUUAUCCACCCUUGUUCUUUUGCGUACUUCUUGUUUCCUUGGUGGGUUUGCCCACCACAAGGACAAACAUAAACCUUUUGUAAUUGCAAUCAGCGUCAGUAACAAAUUAAUAAUUACAACUUUCAACAACGGAUCUCUUGGUUCUGGCAUCGAUGAAGAACGCAGCGAAAUGCGAUAAGUAGUGUGAAUUGCAGAAUUCAGUGAAUCAUCGAAUCUUUGAACGCAAACAUUGCGCCCUUUGGUAUUCCAAAGGGCAUGCCUGUUCGAGCGUCAUUUGUACCCUCAAGCUUUGCUUGGUGUUGGGCGUCUUGUCUCUAGCUUUGCUGGAGACUCGCCUUAAAGUAAUUGGCAGCCGGCCUACUGGUUUCGGAGCGCAGCACAAGUCGCACUCUCUAUCAGCAAAGGUCUAGCAUCCAUUAAGCCUUUUUUCAACUUUUGACCUCGGAUCAGGUAGGGAUACC
RNAcentral lists this ribosomal RNA (518 nucleotides) under Alternaria eichhorniae. RNAcentral's name for it is "eukaryotic LSU rRNA". The stretch from base 175 to 330 matches the Rfam family "5.8S ribosomal RNA". Lineage: Eukaryota; Fungi; Ascomycota; Dothideomycetes; Pleosporales; Pleosporaceae. The record is from RNAcentral.